Molecule: long non-coding RNA, 736 nt
Organism: Micropterus dolomieu (smallmouth bass)
Lineage: Eukaryota; Metazoa; Chordata; Actinopteri; Centrarchiformes; Centrarchidae
Exons: 4
Source: RefSeq, a predicted model, not a curated record
AACGUUCCUAAGAUAAUCUGAUGAUUUUUUUUUUUCUUAUUUAUUGGACUUAUAUGUUUUUUCAGCAGACACCUCAUGUAAAAAAUUCUCUAUUUAAGGAGAAAAAAGUCCUUUUUUCUGAUCUUUUUUUCUUGUUUUCAACAGAUCAGCUCAUUAACAAAACAAAUUUGAAUGAAAGUGGAUGGAAUCACAGGUUUUAAACUACCAUCAAAUGUUCUUAAGGUCAUUAAGUAAACAGAUUUGAAUGAAACUGGAUGGAGUCACAGGUUUUAAUGUACCAUCAAACGUUCCUAAGAUCAGGUCAUUAAGGAAACAGAUUUGAAUGAAACUGGAUGGAGUCACAGGUUUUAAACUACCAUCAAACAUUCUUAAGAACCGAUGCUGCACUUUGGACCAUCUGCUGCCUUGAGACGUCUCGAUCCCUUCAUUCCUUCCCUCUUUAACUCUUUCAACCCAUUACACAUAAUGGUUACCCUGCACUGUUGCUCUUCAUGAAGUUUCUCCACAUUUUUCCCGUAAAGGGUUUUUGUGGAGUUUUUCUUUUAUUGGCAUCUUGACAUGGUAAAUCACAAGCUUUGUCUGCAGCUCAGUAUUUGUCUCAGCUCCCCUAAAGGUGACCAGUGUUCCUCCAGAAAGCAACAGAACUUGAUAACAACAAUCAACCAUAAUAUCAAAGAAUCUUUAUUUUAAUCCUACAAUGAAUAAUAUAAUAAAUACAAUUGUACCUAAAUAUUAA